RNAcentral lists this ribosomal RNA (253 nucleotides) under uncultured bacterium. RNAcentral's name for it is "partial 16S ribosomal RNA". It matches the Rfam family "Bacterial small subunit ribosomal RNA", at positions 524 to 776 of the family's 1533-position model. The record is from RNAcentral.
GACGGAGGAUGCAAGUGUUAUCCGGAAUCACUGGGCGUAAAGCGUCUGUAGGUGGUCAAAUAAGUCAACUGUUAAAUCUUGAGGCUCAACCUCAAAAUCGCAGUCGAAACUAUUAGACUAGAGUAUAGUAGGGGUAAAGGGAAUUUCCAGUGGAGCGGUGAAAUGCGUAGAGAUUGGAAAGAACACCGAUGGCGAAGGCACUUUACUGGGCUAUUACUAACACUCAGAGACGAAAGCUAGGGUAGCAAACAGG